GAGCUGUGAAGAAAUAUGGUUUAACGAAGGUUGGGUCCUUCGCUCUCAUCUGAUUUCAAGAUGAUAUGCCACCAUCCUGAGCUC
Small nucleolar RNA from Raphanus sativus (radish), 84 nucleotides. RefSeq annotates it as small nucleolar RNA snoR114. The record is from RefSeq and is a predicted model, not a curated record. Lineage: Eukaryota; Viridiplantae; Streptophyta; Magnoliopsida; Brassicales; Brassicaceae. The transcript has a single exon.